AGAGUUUGAUCAUGGCUCAGGAUGAACGCUAGCUACAGGCUUAACACAUGCAAGUCGAGGGGAAACGACAUCGAAAGCUUGCUUUUGAUGGGCGUCGACCGGCGCACGGGUGAGUAACGCGUAUCCAACCUGCCCAUCACUUGGGGAUAACCUUGGCGAAAGUAAGACUAAUACCCAAUGAUAUCUCUAGAAGACAUCUGAAAGAGAUUAAAGAUUUAUCGGUGAUGGAUGGGGAUGCGUCUGAUUAGCUUGUUGGCGGGGUAACGGCCACAAGGCUACGAUCAGUAGGGGUUCUGAGAGGAAGGUCCCCCANAUUGGAACUGAGACACGGUCCAAACUCCGUACGGGAGGCA
RNAcentral lists this ribosomal RNA (353 nucleotides) under uncultured bacterium. RNAcentral describes it as "bacterial SSU rRNA". It matches the Rfam family "Bacterial small subunit ribosomal RNA", at positions 8 to 350 of the family's 1533-position model. The record is from RNAcentral.